RNAcentral lists this ribosomal RNA (1286 nucleotides) under Idaea effusaria. RNAcentral's name for it is "16S ribosomal RNA". The stretch from base 1036 to 1195 matches the Rfam family "Eukaryotic large subunit ribosomal RNA", at positions 2825 to 2984 of the family's 3401-position model. The record is from RNAcentral. Lineage: Eukaryota; Metazoa; Arthropoda; Insecta; Lepidoptera; Geometridae.
GGGGGUUAAAGUAUUUUAAAAAAAUUAAUAUUAAAUUUUAUAGUAAAUUAGUAUUGUGAAAGAAAUUUGAAAUAAUAUUAAAUAUUAAAUUAUUUAAAAGUAAUUUUUAUUUGUUGUAUCUUGUGUAUCAGAGUUUAUUAAUAAUUUUUAAUUUAAUAAAUUAAUUUCUCGAAUUUAAAAGAGUUAAUUAAUUAAUAAAGUUAAUGUGAAAAAAUUAUUUUUAAUAAUUAAUUUGAAAUGAAAUGUUAUUCGUUUUUAAAUAUAUCUAGUUUUUUUUGAAAAAAAUUUAAUUUUAUUUUUUUUUUACAAAUAAUUAAUUAAUUAAUUAUUUGUAUGAAAAAUUUUAAUAAUUUAAGGGAUAAGCUUUAAAUUAAAUUUUUAUAAUUGGAAAUUAAUUAAAUUAUUAAAAAUUUUAUAUUUUAUAUUGAUAAAAAAUUUUAAUUUUUUAUAAAUAAUUUUAUUAAAAUAGAAAAUUUAAAUUAGGAAUAUUUAAAAUUUAUAAAAAAAAAUAAAUUAUAAUUAUAAAAAUUUAAUUAUAAUGAUAAAAUUAUUAUAUAAAUAAGUUAAUUAAAAAAUAAAUUUAUUUAAAAAUUAAAUUAAAGGAAUUCGGCAAAAUUUUUAUAUUCACUUGUUUAACAAAAACAUGUCUUUUUGAUAAUAAUUUAAAGUCUAAUCUGCCCACUGAUUUUAAUUAAAGGGCUGCAGUAAUUUGACUGUACAAAGGUAGCAUAAUCAAUAGUCUUUUAAUUGAUGACUUGUAUGAAUGAUUGGAUGAAAUAUAAUCUGUCUCUUAUUUAAUUAUAAAAUUUAAUUUUUUAGUUAAAAAGCUAAAAUAUUUUAAAAAGACGAGAAGACCCUAUAGAGUUUUAUAAUUAAUAAUUUAAUUUAUUUUAUAUAAUAAUGAAAAAUUAAAUAAAUUUAUAAUUAUUUUAUUGGGGUGAUAAAAAAAUAUAAAUAACUUUUUUUAAAAUAAAAAUCAUAUAUAAGUGAUUAAAUGAUCCAUUAAUAAUGAUUAAAAGAAAAAAUUACCUUAGGGAUAACAGCGUAAUUUUUUUUUUUAGUUCAAAUAAGAAAAAAAGUUUGCGACCUCGAUGUUGGAUUAAGAUAUAAUUUAAAUGCAAAAGUUUAAAAUUUUUGAUCUGUUCGAUCAUUAAAAUCUUACAUGAUCUGAGUUCAAACCGGUGUAAGCCAGGUUGGUUUCUAUCUUUUAAUAAAUAAAAUAUUUUAGUACGAAAGGAUUGAAUAUUUUAAUUAAAUUAAAAAUAUAUUUGAUUAUUUUUAAAAUU